This 465-nucleotide ribosomal RNA is filed under the name uncultured bacterium. RNAcentral describes it as "partial 16S ribosomal RNA". It matches the Rfam family "Bacterial small subunit ribosomal RNA", at positions 338 to 795 of the family's 1533-position model. The record is from RNAcentral.
CCUACGGGAGGCAGCAGUGGGGAAUAUUGCGCAAUGGGCGAAAGCCUGACGCAGCGACGCCGCGUGAGGGAUGAAGGUCUUCGGAUCGUAAACCUCUGUUAGCAGGGAAGAACGGUCACUGUGCUAAUCAUCAGUGAAUUGACGGUAUCUGCAAAGGAAGCACCGGCUAACUCCGUGCCAGCAGCCGCGGUAAUACGGAGGGUGCGUGCGUUAAUCGGAUUUACUGGGCGUAAAGCGCUCGUAGGCGGUAUGUCAAGUCAAGGGUGAAAUCCCCGCGCUCAACGGGGGAACUGCCUUUGAGACUGGAAAACUUGAGUGUGGGAGAGGAUAGUGGAAUUCCAGGUGUAGGAGUGAAAUGCGUAGAUAUCUGGAGGAACAUCAGUGGCGAAGGCGACUAUCUGGCACAUAACUGACGCUGAGGAGCGAAAGCGUGGGUAGCAAACAGGAUUAGAUACCCGAGUAGUC